RNAcentral lists this ribosomal RNA (2869 nucleotides) under Vibrio parahaemolyticus VIP4-0219. RNAcentral describes it as "bacterial LSU rRNA". It matches the Rfam family "Bacterial large subunit ribosomal RNA". Lineage: Bacteria; Pseudomonadati; Pseudomonadota; Gammaproteobacteria; Vibrionales; Vibrionaceae. The record is from RNAcentral.
UUAAGUGACUAAGCGUACACGGUGGAUGCCUUGGCAGUCAGAGGCGAUGAAAGACGUAGUAACUUGCGAUAAGCCCAGAUUAGGUAGUAACAACCAUUUGAGUCUGGGAUUUCUGAAUGGGGAAACCCACGUGCAUAAGCACGUAUCCUUACCUGAAUACAUAGGGUAAGGAGGCGAACCGGGGGAACUGAAACAUCUAAGUACCCCGAGGAAAAGAAAUCAACCGAGAUUCCGAAAGUAGCGGCGAGCGAAAUUGGACUAGCCCUUAAGCUUUACACGCGUUAGACGAACGGUCUGGAAAGUCCGACGAUACAGGGUGAUAGUCCCGUAGUUGACGACGUGUGUUCAGUGAAAUCGAGUAGGGCGGGACACGUGAUAUCCUGUCUGAAUAUGGGGGGACCAUCCUCCAAGGCUAAAUACUACUGACUGACCGAUAGUGAACCAGUACCGUGAGGGAAAGGCGAAAAGAACCCCUGUGAGGGGAGUGAAAUAGAACCUGAAACCGUGUACGUACAAGCAGUAGGAGCACCUUCGUGGUGUGACUGCGUACCUUUUGUAUAAUGGGUCAGCGACUUAUAUUCAGUGGCAAGGUUAACCAUCUAGGGGAGCCGUAGGGAAACCGAGUCUUAACUGGGCGUUCAGUCUCUGGAUAUAGACCCGAAACCAGGUGAUCUAGCCAUGGGCAGGUUGAAGGUUGAGUAACAUCAACUGGAGGACCGAACCGACUAAUGUUGAAAAAUUAGCGGAUGACUUGUGGCUAGGGGUGAAAGGCCAAUCAAACCUGGAGAUAGCUGGUUCUCCCCGAAAGCUAUUUAGGUAGCGCCUCGGACGAAUACUACUGGGGGUAGAGCACUGUUAAGGCUAGGGGGUCAUCCCGACUUACCAACCCUUUGCAAACUCCGAAUACCAGUAAGUACUAUCCGGGAGACACACGGCGGGUGCUAACGUCCGUCGUGGAGAGGGAAACAACCCAGACCGCCAGCUAAGGUCCCAAAUUACUACUAAGUGGGAAACGAUGUGGGAAGGCUCAGACAGCCAGGAUGUUGGCUUAGAAGCAGCCAUCAUUUAAAGAAAGCGUAAUAGCUCACUGGUCGAGUCGGCCUGCGCGGAAGAUGUAACGGGGCUAAGUAGUAAACCGAAGCUGCGGCAAUAUACUUUUGUAUAUUGGGUAGGGGAGCGUUCUGUAAGCGGUUGAAGGUGUGUGGUAACGCAUGCUGGACGUAUCAGAAGUGCGAAUGCUGACAUGAGUAACGAUAAAGGGGGUGAAAAACCUCCUCGCCGGAAGACCAAGGGUUCCUGUCCAACGUUAAUCGGGGCAGGGUAAGUCGACCCCUAAGGCGAGGCCGAAAGGCGUAGUCGAUGGGAAACGGGUUAAUAUUCCCGUACUUCUUACAAUUGCGAUGGGGGGACGGAGAAGGCUAGGUGGGCCUGGCGACGGUUGUCCAGGUUCAAGUGCGUAGGCUUAAGAGUUAGGUAAAUCCGGCUCUUUUUAAGGCUGAGACACGACGUCGAGCACCUACGGGUGUGAAGUCAUUGAUGCCAUGCUUCCAGGAAAAGCCUCUAAGCUUCAGAUUGUAAGGAAUCGUACCCCAAACCGACACAGGUGGUCGGGUAGAGAAUACCAAGGCGCUUGAGAGAACUCGGGUGAAGGAACUAGGCAAAAUGGUACCGUAACUUCGGGAGAAGGUACGCUCUCGACGGUGAAGUCCCUCGCGGAUGGAGCUAUUGAGAGUCGCAGAUACCAGGUGGCUGCAACUGUUUAUUAAAAACACAGCACUGUGCAAAAUCGUAAGAUGACGUAUACGGUGUGACGCCUGCCCGGUGCCGGAAGGUUAAUUGAUGGGGUUAGACUUCGGUCGAAGCUCUUGAUCGAAGCCCCGGUAAACGGCGGCCGUAACUAUAACGGUCCUAAGGUAGCGAAAUUCCUUGUCGGGUAAGUUCCGACCUGCACGAAUGGCGUAAUGAUGGCCACGCUGUCUCCACCCGAGACUCAGUGAAAUUGAAAUCGCUGUGAAGAUGCAGUGUACCCGCGGCUAGACGGAAAGACCCCGUGAACCUUUACUACAGCUUGGCACUGAACAUUGACCCUACAUGUGUAGGAUAGGUGGGAGGCUUUGAAGCACGUACGCCAGUAUGUGUGGAGCCGUCCUUGAAAUACCACCCUUGUAGUGUUGAUGUUCUAACGUCGACCCCUAAUCGGGGUUGCGGACAGUGCCUGGUGGGUAGUUUGACUGGGGCGGUCUCCUCCCAAAGAGUAACGGAGGAGCACGAAGGUGGGCUAAUCACGGUUGGACAUCGUGAGGUUAGUGCAAUGGCAUAAGCCCGCUUGACUGCGAGAAUGACAAUUCGAGCAGGUGCGAAAGCAGGUCAUAGUGAUCCGGUGGUUCUGAAUGGAAGGGCCAUCGCUCAACGGAUAAAAGGUACUCCGGGGAUAACAGGCUGAUACCGCCCAAGAGUUCAUAUCGACGGCGGUGUUUGGCACCUCGAUGUCGGCUCAUCACAUCCUGGGGCUGAAGUCGGUCCCAAGGGUAUGGCUGUUCGCCAUUUAAAGUGGUACGCGAGCUGGGUUUAGAACGUCGUGAGACAGUUCGGUCCCUAUCUGCCGUGGGCGUUGGAAGAUUGAAGGGGGCUGCUCCUAGUACGAGAGGACCGGAGUGGACGAACCUCUGGUGUUCGGGUUGUGUCGCCAGACGCAUUGCCCGGUAGCUAAGUUCGGAAUCGAUAACCGCUGAAAGCAUCUAAGCGGGAAGCGAGCCCUGAGAUGAGUCUUCCCUGAUACUUUAAGUAUCCUAAAGGGUUGUCGGAGACUACGACGUUGAUAGGUCAGGUGUGUAAGUGCUGUGAGGCAUUGAGCUAACUGAUACUAAUU